RNAcentral lists this long non-coding RNA (332 nucleotides) under Prunus persica (peach). Its description in RNAcentral is "long non-coding RNA (PPER_LNC007448)". The record is from RNAcentral. Lineage: Eukaryota; Viridiplantae; Streptophyta; Magnoliopsida; Rosales; Rosaceae.
UUGAUGGACUUGGGCUGCUUAGGCUUAGAAGCCGUGGACUUCUUGUUCUUCUUCGCAGGCUUCUUAGUCGCCUUCGGAGCAGGGGCGGUCGUUUUGGUCUUUUUCUCCGUUUUGGGUUUUGUUGAAGCCUUGGUUUUGCCUGUGGUUUUGUCCUUCUUGCCUGCCUCAGAGAGCUUGUACGAGGCCCUGAUCUUGAUCAGCUUGCCUCUCGCCGCAGAGUUCUUCAGUUGCAGAGCCAGGGUCUUCUUGAAGUUGGAAGGAAGCACCGCCUUGUGCUUCUCCUCCAUGUACUUGGCUAUGGCGUAAGGACUGGACCCGCUCUUCUCGUUCAG